RNAcentral lists this unclassified non-coding RNA (246 nucleotides) under uncultured Pleosporales. RNAcentral describes it as "sequence contains ITS2". Lineage: Eukaryota; Fungi; Ascomycota; Dothideomycetes; Pleosporales. The record is from RNAcentral.
AACGCACAUUGCGCCCCUUGGUAUUCCAUGGGGCAUGCCUGUUCGAGCGUCAUUUGUACCUUCAAGCUCUGCUUGGUGUUGGGUGUUUGUCCCGCCGCGUGCGUGGACUCGCCUUAAAGCAAUUGGCAGCCGGCAUACGGGUCGAAGAGCGCAGCACAAUUUGCGCGCUUCCCCCGUGCGUUGGCAUCCAUCAAGCCCAUUUUCACGCUUGACCUCGGAUCAGGUAGGGAUACCCGCUGAACUUAA